RNAcentral lists this ribosomal RNA (429 nucleotides) under bacterium. RNAcentral describes it as "partial 16S ribosomal RNA". It matches the Rfam family "Bacterial small subunit ribosomal RNA", at positions 355 to 776 of the family's 1533-position model. The record is from RNAcentral.
UAGGGAAUCUUCCACAAUGGACGCAAGUCUGAUGGAGCAACGCCGCGUGAGUGAAGAAGGUUUUCGGAUCGUAAAGCUCUGUUGUUGGUGAAGAAGGAUAGAGGUAGUAACUGGCCUUUAUUUGACGGUAAUCAACCAGAAAGUCACGGCUAACUACGUGCCAGCAGCCGCGGUAAUACGUAGGUGGCAAGCGUUGUCCGGAUUUAUUGAGCGUAAAGCGAGCGCAGGCGGAAGAAUAAGUCUGAUGUGAAAGCCCUCGGCUUAACCGAGGAACUGCAUCGGAAACUGUUUUUCUUGAGUGCAGAAGAGGAGAGUGGAAUUCCAUGUGUAGCGGUGGAAUGCGUAGAUAUAUGGAAGAACACCAGUGGCGAAGGCGACUCUCUGGUCUGCAACUGACGCUGAGGCUCGAAAGCAUGGGUAGCGAACAGG